Molecule: ribosomal RNA, 497 nt
Filed under: uncultured bacterium
Lineage: Bacteria
Description: partial 16S ribosomal RNA
Rfam family: Bacterial small subunit ribosomal RNA
Source: RNAcentral
GAUGAACGCUGGCGGCGUGCCUAAUACAUGCAAGUCGAGCGAACAGAUGAGGAGCUUGCUCCUCUGACGUUAGCGGCGGACGGGUGAGUAACACGUGGAUAACCUACCUAUAAGACUGGGAUAACUUCGGGACACCGGAUCUAAUACCGGAUAAUAUAUUGAACCGCAUGGUUCAAUAGUGAAAGACGGUUUUGCUGUCUCUUAUAGAUGGAUCCGCGCCGCAUUAGCUAGUUGGUAAGUUAACGGCUUACCAAGGCAACGAUGCGUAGCCGACCUGAGAGGGUGAUCGGCCACACGGGAGCUGAGACACGGUCAAGACUCCUACGGGAGGCAGCAGUAGGGAAUCUUCCGCAAUGGGCGAAAGCCUGACGGAGCAACGCCGCGUGAGUGAUGAAGGUCUUCGGAUCGUAAAACUCUGUUAUUAGGGAAGAACAAAUGUGUAAGUAACUAUGCACGUCUUGACGGUACCUAAUCAGAAAGCCACGGCUAACUACGUG